Hyla sarda is the source of this 3038-nucleotide long non-coding RNA. RefSeq lists it as uncharacterized. The record is from RefSeq and is a predicted model, not a curated record. NCBI's taxonomy places the organism in Eukaryota, Metazoa, Chordata, Amphibia, Anura, Hylidae. The transcript is spliced from 2 exons.
CAGAGAAGAUCACCGGAGAUUCCCGCCACUGAACGGGAAAAGGUAAGUACCGUUGUCACCAGUGUCACCUGCACUAUCUGUCAGUACCGCCACUUUUGUGUAGGUGACACUGGUGACAUAUUUCCAUUAAAAACAAUAAAAGAAAAAGAAGGUUAAUAAAAUAAUUAAAAAAGAAAAAAAACUUCUACAAAAAUAUCCCUAAAAAAACAUAUUUGGUAUGAAAUAUAAAAUUAAGAAAAUAGAAAAAAUAUAUAAAAAUUCCCCCAAAAACUAUAUAACCCCAUACAAAUCCCUCACAAUGCCAUAACCAUGCACUGCCUGUCAGAAUAAUGCUAAGAGGAAUAAUACACUGCACCACAAUAGUAGUGCAGUGUUUUAUAGAAAUAAUCAGAUCUUUGGUGAAAGGUUGCCCUCUAAUGGGAAUAUGGGUGAAAAAAACAACCCAUAAAAUAAAAGUGUAAUAACAUGAUUUAUUGACCCCCCCCCUCCCCCACCAACAAAAAAAGAAAAAGAAAACAGUAGAAAGGCAGAAAUGCUUUUGAAAAAAGAAAUACACAAUAAUAAUUUAUAAAAUUUUCUGCCCCCUCCCCCAAAGAAAACAUAUAUUACCCUUAAAAUGUAUGAAUAAAUAAAUGAAAAUUAAGACAUAACCCAAACAUUACAAAAACAAACCCUCCAAAAACCUGUCAAUAGUCUGCGUCAACAUCAUCCUGGGAUGAUGGGAAGAGUAGUACACUGCACUACUAUAGAAAUAAAAAUCCCUACCAUCUAAAUCCCAAUGUGUUCCAUUUUUUUUUUUGUUCCUUUUUCUUAUGCGGUUUCUUAAUCCCUGAGAUAAGUAGUUCUGGCCCUAGAGUGUUAUAUAUAUUAGCAUCUGUAGCAUGUAUCAGGAACAUGUUAUCAUACCUGUGUCUUUUUACAGGUGACUGAUGUCCGGUGAGAAGGUGAAAGUGACCUAUACCCCCGUCAACUGCAAGAAAGGAACCACAGGACAGGUGACUGAUGUCUGGUGAGAAGGUGAAAGUGACCUAUACCCCCGUCAACUGCAAGAAAGGAACCACAGGACAGGUAAUUAAUAUUUAUAUUAAUUACUGAUAACAAUCAGGCUAGAUGUAAUAUCUAGACCUGCAGAGAUGUCAUAGUCUCCACCUUAUACAUGAACAUAUAUGUGUUGUUAAUAAGCAUAUCGUCUAUGGACAGCUUCUUAUAUAACACAACCAUGUCUCAGGUACAGAGAAUAGGAACAUUUAUGAUCCUUAAUAUCUGUUUUUUAUUUGUAGGAAUUCCUUUUUCAAUAUUUAAUAGAAUAGACCCAACUUACCCCAAGGUUUACAAGUUUCCUUUAGACAAACUGACUGCAGAUUUAGAACAUAACUGUAAUGUAAAGAAAAAUCAAUAAUUUGUUUUUGCUACAAAUAUAUAAUUAUAAAAAUAAUGAGAAUUAAAAAACUAUAUAUUAAAAGACUAUAGCCAUAAUAAUACAUAGCCUGUUGAAAUAAUCAUGAAGCGCAUAAUACACUGCACUUUAAUACUAGUGCAGUGUAUUAUAUGAGCGAUCUUAAGAUCGCUGUUAAAAGUCCCCUUUGUAAAAAAAACGUAAAGGCUAGCUAGGAAUUUUCAUCCGGAAUAACUAUUGCCGGAGGUUCCAAGCGUACAUUACCGUCAUCAUAGAUGGCAAUGUAUUCUGCCCGGAUCCUAUGUAAAUGAAGUUAAAAAUAAACAAUUUAUAAAAUAAUUCACCCCACCCCAACCCCUACAAAAAAAUAAAUGUUUAUAUAAAAAAGAAUAAAAAAAAAAUAACCCAUUUCUCCCCUCACAUAAGCUAUAAUUAAAAAAUCGUCUGUCAACAUAAUGCUGACAGCGAUAAUGCGCUGCACUAUAACACUAUUGCAAUGUAUUAUAUGGGUGAUCACAAGAUCACUGGGGAAAGGCCUGUCAUCGAAUUUGUUAAAAAAAAAGACCAAAAAAUAAAAAAUAAAGAAAAAAAAGUUAAAAAAAAUAUUCAAACAGAACACCCUAAAAAAAAACAUAUUAAAAAAAGAAAAAAUAAUUUUAAACCAAAAACCCGAAAUAAAACCCCUGACAAUACUGUAACCAUACAUUGUCUUUUAGAAUAAUGACAAGAGGCCUAAGACACUAGUGCAGUGUAUUAUUACAUAGCUAUCGAAAGAUUGCUGCUCAAAGUCCCUUGAUGGGAAUAGUUAAAGGAAAUUUGUCACCAGUGUCACCUGCAUUAACCUGUCGGUACCAACAGAUAGUGCAGGUGACACUAAUGACAAAGGUCCUUGCCUUGUCCCGUUCCGUGGAGGGGAUCUCCGGUAAUCUUCUCUGUUAAGCUUCAGCUCUAGGCCCGGCUUGGGGCACGAGUGGAGCUUAGGAAUGUCACUGCUGCUACGAGUCCAGCAGAGAGCAGCAGUGGCUAGGGGCAUUGGCAGAGCUUCGUGACAUCAUCGCUGCUGCUCCCUGCUUGGUCCCGCUGCUAAAGAACAGCAGUGGUGAUGUCCCUAUUCUCCGCCCAUGCACCAAGCUGGCCAGAGCUGAAGCUUAACAGAGAAGAUCACCGGAGAUUCCCGCCACUGAACGGGAAAAGGUAAGUACCGUUGUCACCAGUGUCACCUGCACUAUCUGUCAGUACCGCCACUUUUGUGUAGGUGACACUGGUGAAAUAUUUCCAUUAAAAACAAUAAAAGAAAAAGAAGGUUAAUAAAAUAAUUAAAAAAGAAAAAAAACUUCUACAAAAAUAUCCCUAAAAAAACAUAUUUGGUAUGAAAUAUAAAAUUAAGAAAAUAGAAAAAAUAUAUAAAAAUUCCCCAAAAAACUAUAUAACCCCAUACAAAUCCCUCACAAUGCCAUAACCAUGCACUGCCUGUCAGAAUAAUGCUAAGAGGAAUAAUACACUGCACCACAAUAGUAGUGCAGUGUUUUAUAGAAAUAAUCAGAUCUUUUGUGAAAGAUUGCCCUCUAAUGAGAAUAUGGGUGAAAAAAACAACCCAUAAAAUAAAAGUGUAAUAACAUGAUUUAUUGACCCCCCCCCCUCC